AGUGUGGAGUGAGGGAGAUCAGGUAGUAUAAAAAUGAGAAGCCUUCAUAGACCUGUAUGCAACAAACGUUUGUAAUCUCUAAAAGAUAAGCACACUACUUAUACAUCAGUUGUCAUUAUCUCUAAAAUGGCAAUCAAGAAUCGUGGUGUUAAUAUCGAUGGCAAACGUGAAAUGACCAUGGCGCAGUUCAGGAUUUGGGUCAAAACACUUGAUGCUGAUAAAGAUGGCAAGAUAAGCAAGGAUGAACUCUCUGACGCUGUCCGAGGUAAUGGAGGAUGGUUUGCUGGUUGGAAGGGAAAGAGGGGGGUAAAGGCAGCAGACGCCAAUGGCAACGGUGUUAUUGAUGACAGUGAAAUCGAUAUCCUAGCUGCUUUUGCUCAAAAGCACUUGGGUAUCAUAAUUAUAUAAUCAUGUAACAUGAUUUCGUAGGCCUCCCCAUAUGUUGUCACUCUGUGUCAUUGUGCCUGACUGAUUAAGGAGAAUAUUGGAUACAGCAUACGGAAGCCAGAUCUUAUCAACGCCCUAAAUCUUGGGAGGAGCAUCGAAGCAUUUAUUAUGAUAAUCUGUUUUCAAAAAAGUGAUAUAUAUAUGUAGUGCGCUCCACCGAAUACUUCAAGUCCAAGACAUGGUGUUGAUUAGCGACGGCUAUUUCGAACUCUGAUGCUUUUUUUUUUCCUCACGAAAUUAUCCUAGAAAGAAUCACACAGGCUAUGAUCGGAUUAACUAUCCUCUCUUGCAUCCGUUCUCCUCUUCUGAAUUACUAAAUCGCAGGCUGGCUGCCGCUGGCUAGGUCUAUAACUACAACCAGCAGCAAGCCCUCACUAUGUCUUUCUGGCUCAUUUAUUUUAAUUUUGUCUAUCUUUUCUUUAGAUAUAUUCUCAGUGAACAAUUUCUUCCUUUUCGAAGUGAGACUUCUGUCUUGGUAAAUGGAAGAAUCUUCCUCUCA
Long non-coding RNA from Populus nigra (black poplar), 946 nucleotides. RefSeq lists it as uncharacterized. The record is from RefSeq and is a predicted model, not a curated record. Lineage: Eukaryota; Viridiplantae; Streptophyta; Magnoliopsida; Malpighiales; Salicaceae. The transcript has 2 exons.